AACGUAGGUGGCGAGCGUUAUCCGGAUUCAUUGGGCGUAAAGAGCUUGUAGGCGGCCACAUAAGUUGGACGUGAAAACUCCGGGCUUAACUUGGAGAGGCCGUUCAAUACUGUGAGGCUAGAGGGUGUCAGAGGGAAGUAGAAUUCCUGGUGUAGCAGUGAAAUGCGUAGAUAUCAGCAGGAACACCCGUGGCGAAGGCGGCUUCCUGGACCGGUAUUGACGCUGAGGCGCGAAAGCCAGGGGAGCAAACGGG
This 253-nucleotide ribosomal RNA is filed under the name uncultured bacterium. Its description in RNAcentral is "partial 16S ribosomal RNA". It matches the Rfam family "Bacterial small subunit ribosomal RNA", at positions 524 to 776 of the family's 1533-position model. The record is from RNAcentral.